This 459-nucleotide ribosomal RNA is filed under the name uncultured bacterium. RNAcentral's name for it is "bacterial SSU rRNA". It matches the Rfam family "Bacterial small subunit ribosomal RNA", at positions 335 to 784 of the family's 1533-position model. The record is from RNAcentral.
ACUCCUACGGGAGGCAGCAGUGGGGAAUAUUGGACAAUGGGCGAAAGCCUGAUCCAGCCAUGCCGCGUGUGUGAAGAAGGUCUUCGGAUUGUAAAGCACUUUAAGUUGGGAGGAAGGGCAGUUACCUAAUACGUAAUUGUUUUGACGUUACCGACAGAAUAAGCACCGGCUAACUCUGUGCCAGCAGCCGCGGUAAUACAGAGGGGUGCAAGCGUUAAUCGGAAUUACUGGGCGUAAAGCGCGCGUAGGUGGUUUGUUAAGUUGGAUGUGAAAUCCCCGGGGCUCAACCUGGGAACUGCAUUCAAAACUGACUGACUAGAGUAUGGUAGAGGGUGGUGGAAUUUCCUGUGUAGCGGUGAAAUGCGUAGAUAUAGGAAGGAACACCAGUGGCGAAGGCGACCACCUGGACUAAUACUGACACUGAGGUGCGAAAGCGUGGGGAGCAAACAGGAUUAGAUA